Molecule: long non-coding RNA, 1006 nt
Organism: Sipha flava (yellow sugarcane aphid)
Lineage: Eukaryota; Metazoa; Arthropoda; Insecta; Hemiptera; Aphididae
Exons: 3
Source: RefSeq, a predicted model, not a curated record
UCGUUUUGGUACUUAAUCGUUUACAUAACUCACGGUUGCCCGUCGGUCAUUCGUUCCCGAGGAAUACAAUAUUUUCGUGAUACGUAUUAUAGUCACAUGCUUACAGACAUCUCAGACCCGCCGCCAUCACUAUCCAACCGCAUCCCACUAUCGAGGUCCCAAGACCGAGAGCCAGUGGCCGGGACUAACGUGAUAAGCGGCCAGGCUGUCCGAGCGACGUUUGGACGUAUCGACCCCAUCCCGUUGGGCGGUUACUUAAGAGACGACCAACUACCGCCUCGGGGACCAUCGGGACCGAUUUCGGAAUACAUUUUACGAUUGUCGGCUACCAGGAAGUUGGGUGCUGCCUCCGAGCCCGGGGCCACCCUCUAGCUAUGAUUUCGCUAGAUAAUCAGAUUGAGCAGUAGUAAGAGAGAAUUCAACAUCAGAAUUCAGAUUGAGAUCGUACCGCACUGAUGACGAGUUUAAAGUCGCCAACAAUAAUAAAUUCGUUGUCGGUGUAUUUCGUAUAAAGUAAUUCAAUCGAACAAAUAUAAUAAUCGUAAAUAUCAAGACUGACAGAUGGUGGGAUACAGACUCCAACUAUAAUUAGUUUCUUAUUAUCAAUAGAAAUUAAAAUGAAAAGUUCGAUAUUAUUUAUUGGCACAGAUAACACUUUAGCGGCAUACUUGUUAUUUAUCGCGAUGAGAAUACCUCUACGGCGUGGAUUCGUAUUUUCAUUCCAAUUGAAGCGAAACAGUUCAUAACCAUUUAAACCUAAUUCAGUGCCACGGAAAUGUGCAGUGAGCAGUUGAUUCAGUUAAUAACGGUUAGUGACAGAAUAUUUAUGGGCAGGCACUCAGCAAUACCACACGAACGGGUAAAUUUUAAGUUUUAUAGUUUUUUUUUUUAGUUUUUAUUUUAGUAGGUUUCUGGGCCACUACCUUUUGAGUUUUCUACUUACAUUACCAGGAAGUAAGGUGGAAGAUAGUUGUUUUGUUAAUGGGUUACUGUGAAAGUUUAAGUU